Molecule: long non-coding RNA, 798 nt
Organism: Arabidopsis lyrata subsp. lyrata
Lineage: Eukaryota; Viridiplantae; Streptophyta; Magnoliopsida; Brassicales; Brassicaceae
Exons: 2
Source: RefSeq, a predicted model, not a curated record
UCUUCUUCUUCUCUGCUUCUUCUCUCUGCUUUUUUUUCUUCUUCUUCUUCUUCCUCGUCGUCUCCAGGCAUAUCGAUUUUGCUAACCCAACAAAGAUGUCUUAAACCCAAAUCGACCACGCGACUCGCCUUCUUCUUCUUCUCUUCUUCUUCUUCUUCUUCUUCUUCCUCGUUGUCUCCAAGCAUAUAUAUCGAUUCUGCUAACGUUACAAAGAUGUCUGACGGUUCGCAAUCAGAGAGUGAGAAUGGGAGUGUUGAUGAGAGGGACAUAUCCAACAGUGAUGUGGAGAGUGACAGAUCCGAGAUUGAGUCGCAAAUUGAAGUUUUGCGUUUCUUAACUUCAUCUUAACUAGGUUUUAAGUUGUGGAGAGUGAAGUUUUUGCGUUUCAGUGACGGAUUCUGUUUUGCGUUUCUUAACUUCAUCUUAACUAGGUUUUAAGUUGUGGAGAGUGAAGUUUUUGCGUUUCAGUGACGGAUUCUGUUUUGCGUUUCUUAACUUCAUCUUAACUAGGUUUUAAGUUUUUACUGACUACUUUUGGUAUUAGCUUCAAACUGAAGCAAAGAAAGCUAAGAAAGACAAUAAGGCUAAGGAGAAGGAGAUAAAGACUAAGAAGCCGAAUAAGACUAAGAAGGAUAAGAAGACUCAAGGUCAGGAGACGAUCUCAAUCACACAACCGUCUCAAGCAACACAAGAGUAGUUUGGUUCUGUUCUAUGGUAAAUGGCAGUUGCAUGUGUUGUCUGGUUUUUUAGACUUGCUUUUAGAUUAGAUGUCAACAACAUUAUUUUCCAUUCAGAUGU